GGAUUGUGGCUCAGUGGUAGAGUGCUUGCCUCGCAUGUGUGAGGUACUGGGUUCAACUCUCAGCACCA
RNAcentral lists this transfer RNA (68 nucleotides) under Marmota monax (woodchuck). RNAcentral's name for it is "tRNA.Ala". The stretch from base 5 to 65 matches the Rfam family "tRNA", at positions 6 to 65 of the family's 71-position model. Rfam says of the family: Transfer RNA (tRNA) molecules are approximately 80 nucleotides in length. The record is from RNAcentral. Lineage: Eukaryota; Metazoa; Chordata; Mammalia; Rodentia; Sciuridae.